GUGGUUGUGAGAAGUUGUAGUAUCCUGGGAUGAAAGGAUGAGAGGUGACGUGGAAUUGAGCCAGUGGGUCAGUCUCUGGGUUCAGCAAUCACACAUCCCAUUUCCUCUGGGAUUGUGUUAGUGUCCCUUCCUGCUAGUGUACCAUGUCUCCAGUAUAUAAUGAAAUGUGACACUUGCCUUUGAUGGCAUUGAUAAACUUUCAUAGAACUGAAACAAAUAAAUGCUUUGACAAUUUUCCUCAUAAUUCUGUAGCCAUAUAUAAAUGGUGGUUAUUCAUAUAUUUAUAAAAGUUUGUCAUAGACCUCUUAAGCUCAGAAUACAUUCACACUCAAAACGUUGGGGGACAACUACAUUUCUCAUUGUUUCUUCUGUAGCUGUGUGUACUUCUAAAGCAGAUAAGCUUCAAG
Molecule: long non-coding RNA, 407 nt
Filed under: Bos taurus (domestic cattle)
Lineage: Eukaryota; Metazoa; Chordata; Mammalia; Artiodactyla; Bovidae
Description: long non-coding RNA NONBTAT001699
Source: RNAcentral